CCUACGGGAGGCAGCAGUGGGGAAUAUUGGACAAUGGGGGCAACCCUGAUCCAGCCAUGCCGCGUGUGUGAAGAAGGCCCUCGGGUUGUAAAGCACUUUCAGUGAGGAAGAACGCCUGGUGGUUAAUACCCAUCAGGAAAGACAUCACUCACAGAAGAAGCACCGGCUAACUCCGUGCCAGCAGCCGCGGUAAUACGGAGGGGGCGAGCGUUAAUCGGAAUUACUGGGCGUAAAGCGCGCGUAGGUGGCUUGAUAAGCCGGUUGUGAAAGCCCCGGGCUCAACCUGGGAACGGCAUCCGGAACUGUCAAGCUAGAGUGCAGGAGAGGAAGGUAGAAUUCCCGGUGUAGCGGUGAAAUGCGUAGAGAUCGGGAGGAAUACCAGUGGCGAAGGCGGCCUUCUGGACUGACACUGACACUGAGGUGCGAAAGCGUGGGUAGCAAACAGGAUUAGAUACCCUGGUAGUC
This 465-nucleotide ribosomal RNA is filed under the name Vreelandella stevensii. RNAcentral describes it as "partial 16S ribosomal RNA". It matches the Rfam family "Bacterial small subunit ribosomal RNA", at positions 338 to 795 of the family's 1533-position model. The record is from RNAcentral. Lineage: Bacteria; Pseudomonadati; Pseudomonadota; Gammaproteobacteria; Oceanospirillales; Halomonadaceae.